UGGAUUGGUCCUGGACCCUAUUGAUAAUAAUAUAAUAAUAAAACAUAUCUUUGCUAAAUUUAAAAUAUUUAUCAUAGCAUUUCCAAAUUAGCUGCAGAAAUCAUAAAAAAAAUAAAUUAAUAUUUAAAUGAAUUUUUAAAGUAUUUUUUUUUUCAUUCAAAAUACCUUGAAUAUGAGAAUAUUUUAUAGACAAGAAUAUAAAAUGUAUUUAGUGCAGAGGAUAUGGAAAUUAAAUAAUCUUGACCAGCUAACCAUCUGUGUUCAUUUGAUAACAUCAGUGGACACCAACUGUGAAUGUAGCACUUAACCUAAUCAUUUAAUUGCUUGUAUAAACAAUCAAUUACAUGGUUUCAAUGUUGAAUAUCAGGGAAAAUUCGGGCUGUUCUCUAAAGUAUGUAUGCAA
RNAcentral lists this long non-coding RNA (403 nucleotides) under Mytilus galloprovincialis (Mediterranean mussel). Lineage: Eukaryota; Metazoa; Mollusca; Bivalvia; Mytilida; Mytilidae. The record is from RNAcentral.